This 460-nucleotide ribosomal RNA is filed under the name uncultured bacterium. Its description in RNAcentral is "partial 16S ribosomal RNA". It matches the Rfam family "Bacterial small subunit ribosomal RNA", at positions 338 to 795 of the family's 1533-position model. The record is from RNAcentral.
CCUACGGGGGGCAGUAGUGAGGAAUAUUGAUCAAUGGGCGCGAGCCUGAACCAGCCAAGUCGCGUGAGGGAUGACGGCCCUACGGGUUGUAAACCUCUUUUGUCGGGGAGCAACGGGCGCCACGUGUGGCGCCACUGAGAGUACCCGGAGAAAAAGCAUCGGCUAACUCCGUGCCAGCAGCCGCGGUAAUACGGAGGAUGCGAGCGUUAUCCGGAUUUAUUGGGUUUAAAGGGUGCGUAGGCGGAUCGUUAAGUCAGUGGUCAAAUUGAGGGGCUCAACCCCUUCCCGCCAUUGAAACUGGCGCUCUUGAGUGGAAGAGAAGUAUGCGGAAUGCGUGGUGUAGCGGUGAAAUGCAUAGAUAUCACGCAGAACCCCGAUUGCGAAGGCAGCCUUCCGGCGCCCUACUGACGCUGAGGCACGAAAGUGCGGGGAUCGAACAGGAUUAGAUACCCCAGUAGUC